UAGAAGGCUGAGAUAUAUUCUGAAAAGCUUUCUGUUAUUACUGUCAUUACAUGUGAGCCAAUGGAGACCCAAAUCCACUGACUUCCUGCUGGAUCCCUCAGACUAAAAGACCUGCUAUCAAGUCUGUCCCGUGGUCAACAAGAUGACUCAAAGCAGUUCACACUUGGGGUACGAGGAGGGCGUAUUCCCCAGGGAUUGGCACCCAGCUUCAGAUGUCUAAAAUGGCUUUUUGGGGUCCCUGGCUUGGCAACAACCAUUUGUCUGAAACAUAUGGACAAACACUGAACAUGGAAGCAAAAGACUACAGGAAACAUGAUGGCUUUACUUCCAUCUGGUCGUAAAGAUGUUUGCAGCCUAGAGAUAAUGGCCGUAUUCUGCCCCAUAAGAGCUAUUGAAGACAUUGGGAAGUAUUAGGAUGUCUCUCUACCAUUUCCUGCAUCUUUUCUUGAUGGGAUUGGAGGGGGAAAAUCUUUCAAAUUCACUUGACCAUAUUUUAAUAGGCUGACUGGUAAAGAAUCAUAGCCAAGUACUUUUUUUAUUUAGCUGUUUUAUUAAAGCUUUCAAAUCUCUGGAAAAAGAUGGCAUGUAGGUAAAAAUAAUGGCAAUAGGUUGAUGGGGAAGGAUAAAAUAUAGUACCAAUGGCAUUGUGCUUAUAUUUAAUCUAUUGCUUGUAUGAUUGUAUAAGUGUAUUAACGUUUACACUAUAUUCCAAACACUUGUUGUUCUUUUAACAAUCAUAUACAGCAUGCAAUAUUACAUAUUGUGUACUUAUACAAUCAACUAUUUAUCCAUUUGAGCAAAAACAAGAUGGGGAAAACAAGAUUUAGCUAACUUCCUUUUCUCUUGCUUACAGUUUCUUCUUCCAGUUCUGCAUACCCUGAAAAAAAAAAAGUGUGAUGGAUAUGUCUUUUCAGAAACCAAGUGAACAAAGACUAAUAAUGCUUUCAGCAUUUUGUUGCAAUACACCUUUCAAACUUUCAAUAUUCUUUAUAGAAUAAGAGGAAGAAAAUAAUUGAUGGGCUAUAAGAACAGGGAAUCCCCUCUUGAGCCCCAGGAAAUAUGGAAAAAAAAAUAAUGAUCUGGUUUGAUGUAAGGCAGCUUUAGAUAAAUUAUGAUAUUUUUGCCAGGGGUCACAGGUAAUUAGGAAAACACCUGCGUAGCAGACAGAAAACCUUCGUGCAAUCAAUCCCGGCUGAAGAGAAAAGCUGGUGAUACGCAACGUUAGAAAUACUGAAUUAGAUGCCAGAAGAAUCUGAUUUCUUUCAAACCAACAUCCGGGUUUUUAUGGAACAGCAUGUUACUCCCACAGCCCAGUGAAGUGUUUGAGAAGAUGAAGUACACGAACCCUUCUGAACCAUGCACAAAAGCUCCCGUCUACCAGCAGGAGAUACAUCAGAAAUGUAUUUCCCUCACACACACACACACACACACUACUCAGGGACUGUCGAGCUAGGGAGUUCAGAGGUCUGGCUGUCUUUGCUUGAAGACCAAGAGGUGACAGGGCUAUCAGUAACUCUGGGUGGCUCUCUCAGGACACAGGCCCUCUCCCUAGGAAACCCAUUUGUGUACAUGUAUGCCCUCAAUGUGGGAGUUAUCAAAGAUACGGGCAUCAAUGAGUUACCAGAAAAACUGGCUUCUCCACAUAGCUGGAGGGAGGCUGGUGAAUAAGUUGUGUCAAGUAGCGUCCUUAAUCCACUUCUGAUCUCUGCUGGGAAGUUGCCUAAA
Non-coding RNA from Pseudonaja textilis, 1725 nucleotides. NCBI's taxonomy places the organism in Eukaryota, Metazoa, Chordata, Lepidosauria, Squamata, Elapidae. The record is from RefSeq and is a predicted model, not a curated record.